Molecule: ribosomal RNA, 395 nt
Filed under: uncultured bacterium
Lineage: Bacteria
Description: bacterial SSU rRNA
Rfam family: Bacterial small subunit ribosomal RNA
Source: RNAcentral
AUUGAACGCUGGCGGCAUGCCUUACACAUGCAAGUCGAACGGCAGCGCGGGGCAACCUGGCGGCGAGUGGCGAACGGGUGAGUAAUAUAUCGGAACGUGCCCUGGAGUGGGGGAUAACGUAGCGAAAGUUACGCUAAUACCGCACACGAUCCAAGGAUGAAAGCAGGGGACCUUCGGGCCUUGUGCUCCUGGAGCGGCCGAUAUCUGAUUAGCUAGUUGGUGGGGUAAAAGCCUACCAAGGCGACGAUCAGUAGCUGGUCUGAGAGGACGACCAGCCACACUGGAACUGAGACACGGUCCAGACUCCUACGGGAGGCAGCAGUGGGGAAUUUUGGACAAUGGGGGCAACCCUGAUCCAGCAAUGCCGCGUGUGUGAAGAAGGCCUCGGUUGUAAG